ACUUAAAUAGUUUAAAUUAAAACCUUGAUUUGUGGUGUCAAAAAUAUGAAGUUUCAUUUUGAGUC
This 65-nucleotide transfer RNA is filed under the name Panorpa debilis. Its description in RNAcentral is "tRNA-His". The record is from RNAcentral. Lineage: Eukaryota; Metazoa; Arthropoda; Insecta; Mecoptera; Panorpidae.